UGCAGUCGUGCGAGAAAGUAUCUUCGGAUAUGAGUAGAGCGGCGGACGGGUGAGUAACGCGUAGGAAUCUACCUAGUAGAAGGGGAUAGCCCGAGGAAACUCGGAUUAAUACCGUAUACCUCCUUAGGGAGAAAGAGGGCCUCUCUUGAAGCUCUCGCUAUUAGAUGAGCCUGCGUAAGAUUAGCUUGUUGGUGAGGUAAUGGCUCACCAAGGCUACGAUCUUUAGCUGGUCUGAGAGGACGAUCAGCCACAUUGGGACUGAGACACGGCCCAGACUCCUACGGGAGGCAGCAGUGGGGAAUAUUGGACAAUGGGCGCAAGCCUGAUCCAGCCAUACCGCGUGUGUGAAGAAGGCCCUAGGGUUGUAAAGCACUUUAAGCAGGGAGAAAAAGUUAUGAGUUAAUACCUCAUAACCUUGAUGUUACCUGCAGAAUAAGCACCGGCUAAUUCCGUGCCAGCAGCCGCGGUAAUACGGAAGGUGCAAGCGUUAAUCGGAAUUACUGGGCGUAAAGCGCGCGUAGGUGGUUUGUUAAGUUGGAUGUGAAAGCCCUGGGCUCAACCUAGGAACUGCAUCCAAAACUAACUCACUAGAGUACGAUAGAGGGAGGUAGAAUUCAUAGUGUAGCGGUGGAAUGCGUAGAUAUUAUGAAGAAUACCAGUGGCGAAGGCGGCCUCCUGGAUCUGUACUGACACUAAGGUGCGAAAGCGUGGGUAGCGAACAGGAUUAGAUACCCUGGUAGUCCACGCCGUAAACGAUGACAACUAGCUGUUGGAAG
Molecule: ribosomal RNA, 776 nt
Filed under: uncultured marine bacterium
Lineage: Bacteria
Description: bacterial SSU rRNA
Rfam family: Bacterial small subunit ribosomal RNA
Source: RNAcentral